GCCGGGGUGGCCGAGCAGCGAGGCGGCGGCCUGCAGAGCCGCUUUACAGGGGUGCAAAUCCCCUCCCCGGCU
Molecule: transfer RNA, 72 nt
Rfam family: tRNA
About the family: Transfer RNA (tRNA) molecules are approximately 80 nucleotides in length. Their secondary structure includes four short double-helical elements and three loops (D, anti-codon, and T loops).
Source: Rfam